AGCAGCCGCGGUAAUUCCAGCUCCAAUAGCGUAUAUUAAAGUUGUUGCAGUUAAAAGCUCGUAGUUGAAUUUCGGGGUUUAUCCGUUGGUCGGGCUUUUUGGUCUGUACUGGCGUGAUGGAUUCCUACCUUCUGAAUAACCGGCAUGCCAUUAAUUUGGUGCGCCGGGGAAGCAGGACUGUUACCUUGAAAAAAUUAGAGUGCUUAAAGCAGGCUUAUGCCUGAAUACAUUAGCAUGGAAUAAUGAAAUAGGACGCAUGGUUCUAUUUUGUUGGUUUCUAGGAUCACCGUAAUGAUUAAUAGGGAUAGUUGGGGGCAUUAGUAUUCAAUUGUCAGAGGUGAAAUUCUUGGAUUUAUUGAAGACUAACUUCUGCGAAAGCAUUUGCCAAGGAUGUUUUCAUUAAUCAAGAACGAAAGUUAGGGGAUCGAAGACGAUCAGAUACCGUCGUAGUCUUAACCAUAAACUAUGCCGACUAGGGAUCGGAUGAUGUUAAUUUUUUAAUGACUCAUUCGGCGCCUUA
RNAcentral lists this ribosomal RNA (520 nucleotides) under uncultured Acaulospora. Its description in RNAcentral is "SSU rRNA". It matches the Rfam family "Eukaryotic small subunit ribosomal RNA", at positions 569 to 1090 of the family's 1831-position model. Lineage: Eukaryota; Fungi; Glomeromycota; Glomeromycetes; Diversisporales; Acaulosporaceae. The record is from RNAcentral.